Cavia porcellus (domestic guinea pig) is the source of this 940-nucleotide long non-coding RNA. RefSeq lists it as uncharacterized. The transcript is spliced from 2 exons. The record is from RefSeq and is a predicted model, not a curated record. Lineage: Eukaryota; Metazoa; Chordata; Mammalia; Rodentia; Caviidae.
CAGCCGCUCGGCUCGCGGACCGGUUAGCCCUUGUGCGGCCUCAGGCUCGGUCGGUGCCGCAGGGCUGCUAUUCAAACAGGAAACAACCGGGCAGCCAGAUCCGCAGGCUUUGAGGGCGUCGGGGGCUGGAACCCCGCUUUCAUCAUCCUUUCACUUGCCAGAAGUCCACAAUGGGGCUAAGUUCCAGCCCUCCUAGCACUUGGUCCUUCUGGUCACUGGCCACCUCCUGAGACUAUCCAGAGAAUCCCAUCAUAAAGUGCCUCAACUCGAUGGUAAUCAAAAGGCAUUCACUGUGAAUAAUAAGACACUGCUAUCACUUAGGAAAUUCUAAGACUUUUAGAAGCUUUGCUAUAGGAAAAGCAGGAACUUAAUUUUUUAAAAUUUUUUUGGUGGCAGGGUCUCACUAUGUAGUUAAAGCUGGCCUUGAACUCACUUAUAUAGCCCAGGCUGGCUUCAAAUUCACAGAGAUCCUCCUGCUUCAGCCUCCCAAGUGCUGGGACUAUAGGUGUGCGCCCCCAUGCGUGGCUCCAAGAAGCUUUGAAAUCACUACAAUAUAUAGUAACAAAGCAGCAGAGUAUUUUAUUUUUAUGUAACUGUCACUCAGUAACUGUAACACUGUGAAGUCACAUCAUAAUUUGGUUUCCUUUUCAAAAGAAAGGUUUUCUAAGGAAAUGACUUGGAGCCUUCCACAUUUGUCAGAUGCCUUUUCCUUAUUGUUUUCCAGUUUUGCAAUUCUGGAUCCAAACUGCAUGGCCCGUUUGGGCAGAAGGGCGGAAGCUGUGAGCCCAAGUUCCACAGCUGCAAGACGUAAAAUUAGCUUUUCACCAAUUCCACGGGGUAAAGUCAAGUUUGCCUUUUCCCAGAUGGGCAGGGAAUUAAGAAAGGAGACAACGUUUUCAUCCAGGAAUGGAAAUCUAAAAUAAACAGAUUAAAAAACCAA